GUUCUUUCCACUUCUGGGGCUGUGACUUGAGUUUCUCCGCAGGAGCAGAUAGUGUUUGUGUAGGGACUGCGGACUUUUGCAUUACAGCCUCCCUGCUUUGCCCGCCUGCUGCUGGAAGCUUAGCAGAGGCCACACCGUAGUCAUAGAGCAAGAGGACUCAGAUACAGUUUGGUUGGUCCUUUACCUUCAAAAGUUCAAGUGCUGGCUGCCGAGACUUCUCCAACUCAGUGAUCAGGGUCCCAAGCUGGACCACCUCCUCAGAACCCUUGAUGACACGGCUGUUCCUCCUUUUGAGACACUUACUGAUGCAAAGGAGACUGAACAGUGAAGGAUCUCACUCAGAAUCCUGUCCACAAUCUGUCCAGUUUACACCUUACCCCAAAGAGAGGUAGCCUGUUAUACAACGUUCUUCACCUCAUUCUCUCACUUCACAAUAUAUCUUGGAGAUCUUACCAAAAGCACACAGAGACCUCCUGCGUUGUGAUUAGAUUUUCAUUGCAUAAUAUUCCAUUGUUCGUGUGUGUGUGAGUGUUUAGUUAGUCUCAAAUUGAUAGGUGCAUGAAUUUUUCCAAUCUUUUGUUAAGGCAAGCAGUAUUGAAUAAACUUGUACAUAAUA
RNAcentral lists this long non-coding RNA (616 nucleotides) under Homo sapiens (human). RNAcentral's name for it is "HSALNT0103818". The record is from RNAcentral. Lineage: Eukaryota; Metazoa; Chordata; Mammalia; Primates; Hominidae.